GGUAGGACCUGCGUAAAUAUUGGAGCAGCUUUCCAGCGGUGGAGAGAACCCAUGGAGCGGGAAGGUGUUGAUCCACCUUCUGGACUGGAUACGGACUGGAUCCAGUUGACUGCAGUGCCCAUCUGAUCUAGUGUGCAGCAUCCACUUGGAUGAUGUGACGGCAGCCACAGGACAACAGUGCCAGUGUGCUCACCACACCCCAGCUACAGGUGGAGAGGAGAGAGAGAGACAGAGCCAAUUCAUUGGAUGGGGAUUAUUAAGAGGCCAUGACUGACAAAGACCAGGGAGGGCAAUUUGGCCAGGACACCCGUGUU
This is a long non-coding RNA of Cyprinus carpio carpio, 314 nucleotides long. NCBI's taxonomy places the organism in Eukaryota, Metazoa, Chordata, Actinopteri, Cypriniformes, Cyprinidae. The record is from Ensembl.